GCGCCUGUUCACGGUCAGGUUAACCUACCGGCAGUGUGUUUGGCGGCAAGGGGUUGGGCGGGACUUGGGGAGAUCGACCACCGAGUCAAACGACCGGUCGAGUUUGCGCAGUGGACAAAGCGUAACCGCAGUGCAAACUUUUUCCAUGUCGAAGGGGCAAGUGACGCGACUCGUAACUGCGGUAGGUAGGACUCUGAAAAGACCACGGUGAAAUUCGACACGAAGAAUCCCUAAAAGGAACGAUAAUGCUCGCCGUGUCCAUUGUGGUAGAAUUCGUUUAUACGUCGAGGCACGUCAUCCACCAUCCAACCGUUGAAUGUCGAAAGUGUAACAAAUCACUUCCGUUUGGUCUACAAGGCUGUUAACUGUCGUUGAAGCUUGAAUCGAAAAAAGUUACGAGGUUUCGUGCACGAAGAAUAGCUGCCAUUAACAAUGGACUACCAGAAACGACCUAAGUAAGUAGACCUAAACUCGUGGAGUGCACAUUUGAAAUGUCUUGCAAUAUAUAUUUUUUAUAACGUUGCUUAAUGGGACUUGC
Molecule: long non-coding RNA, 538 nt
Organism: Frieseomelitta varia
Lineage: Eukaryota; Metazoa; Arthropoda; Insecta; Hymenoptera; Apidae
Exons: 3
Source: RefSeq, a predicted model, not a curated record